This 259-nucleotide small RNA is filed under the name Pan troglodytes (chimpanzee). RNAcentral describes it as "processed transcript". The record is from RNAcentral. Lineage: Eukaryota; Metazoa; Chordata; Mammalia; Primates; Hominidae.
UUAGUUACAGUAAUACCUAUCCUGGUCCAGCCAGCCUGCAGUACUUCUCUGGGGAAGAUCUAGACAGGGACACACGGCUAAGAAUGCAGCAGGGGCAGUUCAGGUACAACUUGGAAAGGCAGCAGCAGGAGCAACAGCAAGCCAAGGUUGAUGAGAAUUAUGCAGCCUACUGAAGAUGAACCAUCUCUUUCAUGUCUACCCAUCUCCCAGUUGCAUAGUACAGUGUCUGACAGGUCUUAGGAACAGCAAGGAGCUCAGU